UGGGGAAUAUUGGACAAUGGGCGCAAGCCUGAUCCAGCCAUGCCGCGUGAGUGAUGAAGGCCCUAGGGUUGUAAAGCUCUUUCACCGGUGAAGAUAAUGACGGUAACCGGAGAAGAAGCCCCGGCUAACUUCGUGCCAGCAGCCGCGGUAAUACGAAGGGGGCUAGCGUUGUUCGGAUUUACUGGGCGUAAAGCGCACGUAGGCGGACUUUUAAGUCAGGGGUGAAGUCCCGGGGCUCAACCCCGGAACUGCCUUUGAUACUGGAAGUCUUGAGUAUGGUAGAGGUGAGUGGAAUUCCGAGUGUAGAGGUGAAAUUCGUAGAUAUUCGGAGGAACACCAGUGGCGAAGGCGGCUCACUGGACCAUUACUGACGCUGAGGUGCGAAAGCGUGGGGAGCAAACAGG
RNAcentral lists this ribosomal RNA (404 nucleotides) under Pseudomonas sp. RNAcentral describes it as "partial 16S ribosomal RNA". It matches the Rfam family "Bacterial small subunit ribosomal RNA", at positions 355 to 776 of the family's 1533-position model. The record is from RNAcentral. Lineage: Bacteria; Pseudomonadati; Pseudomonadota; Gammaproteobacteria; Pseudomonadales; Pseudomonadaceae. RNAcentral also lists the same sequence under 3 other names.